CGAAACGCCGCGCCGACGGGUCUUCGGAGUGCGCGCGCUCGAAGCGACCAAGCGGCAGCCAUUACCACCAGCGUCGGCGCAUUGUUCUGCCGUCCUUGGUGUCUCCCGCAGUUUCGAACAGCCAAGACUCCACGACUGCAGCCGUUUCAUUGCCAGCUGUAAGGAUGAAGCAGCUUCAUAGCCGGACAUCAGACGCCUUCCAAGUUCCCCUUUUCAGCAACAGAGGCCUAGGAUGCCAUUCUACCUGUGCUGCAUUGUGUGGGUGACCACUCCAAGGAUCUCAGCAGAAUCAUUACACAGGAAGAAGUCCUGCUGACCCCAAGUAUGGUGUGAAAUGGAAGAAAUGGCACUCCACAUC
Long non-coding RNA from Dermacentor silvarum, 358 nucleotides. RefSeq lists it as uncharacterized. The transcript is spliced from 4 exons. The record is from RefSeq and is a predicted model, not a curated record. NCBI's taxonomy places the organism in Eukaryota, Metazoa, Arthropoda, Arachnida, Ixodida, Ixodidae.